GGGUAGUGACUCAGUGGUAGAAUGCUCGCCUAACACGUGCGAGGCCCUGGGUUCGAUCCUUAGCACCCA
Molecule: transfer RNA, 69 nt
Filed under: Marmota monax (woodchuck)
Lineage: Eukaryota; Metazoa; Chordata; Mammalia; Rodentia; Sciuridae
Description: tRNA.Val
Source: RNAcentral